Molecule: long non-coding RNA, 946 nt
Organism: Armigeres subalbatus
Lineage: Eukaryota; Metazoa; Arthropoda; Insecta; Diptera; Culicidae
Exons: 2
Source: RefSeq, a predicted model, not a curated record
UGUACAUGUGAGGUAAGGAGGAAAAUGUUCAAUGUAAAAUCAAUUUAUAUUAUGAUUUUUGCAUUCCGUUCUUACAAAUUAAAAUCUUAUAAAUACUCGGCCAUGGCUAAGAAAGCUCUUUUCUGUCUCAACCAGCGGACGAAAUAGUAGUGCGCGUCGUGAUUAGCGAAAUGUAUUAAAAAGUAUUUAAUUUGAUUGUUAAAAGUGUUAACUGAUUAAUUUAUGUGUUGUUUCUUUUUGUAGAAGUACGGUUUGUGUUCCUUAAAAACUAUUAGUACGGGCAGUAGUACGUAAACGUUAUAUUUGAGAAGAAUUAGAAGAAAUAGUACGGUUGGUGUCAUUUGUAAACAGUUACAAUUGUUAAAACUUAAAAAUACCUUAUUCUAGUAGAUUUUGCCCAUAAUGUGCCUGAUCUAAAUGUAUAGAGAUCUAUAAGAAUAGUUGCUGUGAAAAGAGAAAGGUCCAUCAAGGGCCUUUCUCUUUAUUUUCUUUUCUUCGGCACAAGUUCCGGCUAGCCGCUGGACCGACAAAGCUUCGCUAGAUGCGCACGUCUAUCCGCAAAGUCAUGGAUGAGCGCAGAAAAGGAAGACAUUCGAGAGACCCCCCCCCCACUUCGGGCAGCAUACGUCGGAGAACGGUGAGUCAGCCAUCUUGAAAGGCCUUUCCAUGCGGGAAGCCGUCUGUCUCCGUGUCGAGUCGGGAAGCAUCGAUAACUGCCCCGAACUUCCGACGAAAGUAUACUCAAGCCACUACGAACCACCCACCGACAUCAGAAUACGCCACCGGAAUCAACAGCAACGCCACCUAUCAACUGCCACCUGCAAGCCAAAACCACUACGGAUCCGGAUCCCAACGAAAGCCAUACGCAAGUACCUUAUGUGACGUCAGAGUGUAGAAGAGGUGUCCAAAAUGGACAAGUUAGUUAAUAAAUAGUUUGUAAUUGGAA